This 254-nucleotide ribosomal RNA is filed under the name uncultured bacterium. RNAcentral describes it as "partial 16S ribosomal RNA". It matches the Rfam family "Bacterial small subunit ribosomal RNA", at positions 524 to 776 of the family's 1533-position model. The record is from RNAcentral.
UACGUAGGGUGCGAGCGUUGUCCGGAAUUAUUGGGCGUAAAGAGCUUGUAGGCGGUUUGUCGCGUCUGCUGUGAAAACCCGAGGCUCAACCUCGGGCCUGCAGUGGGUACGGGCAGACUAGAGUGCGGUAGGGGAGAUUGGAAUUCCUGGUGUAAGCGGUGAAAUGCGCAGAUAUCAGGAGGAACACCGGUGGCGAAGGCGGGUCUCUGGGCAACAACUGACGCUGAGGAGCGAAAGCGUGGGGAGCGAACAGG